Molecule: ribosomal RNA, 426 nt
Filed under: uncultured bacterium
Lineage: Bacteria
Description: partial 16S ribosomal RNA
Rfam family: Bacterial small subunit ribosomal RNA
Source: RNAcentral
GUAGGGAAUAUUGCUUAAUGGGCGAAAGCCUGAAGCAGCAACGCCGCGUGUGCGAUGAAGGCCUUCGGGUUGUAAAGCACUUUUUGAGGGGAUGAGGAAGGACAGUACCCUCAGAAUAAGUCUCGGCUAACUGCGUGCCAGCAGCCGCGGUAAAACGUAGGAGGCGAGCGUUAUCCGGAUUUACUGGGCGUAAAGCGCGUGCAGGCGGCUCGAAAAGUUGGAUGUGAAAGCUCCUGGCUUAACUGGGAGAGGUCGUUCAAUACUUUCGGGCUUGAGGAUGGGAGAGGGAGGUGGAAUUCCGGGUGUAGUGGUGAAAUGCGUAGAUAUCCGGAGGAACACCAGUGGCGAAGGCGGCCUCCUGGCCCAUUUCUGACGCUCAGACGCGAAAGCUAGGGUAGCAAACGGGAUUAGAAACCCGAGUAGUCC